AUGGCCGUGCCGGUGUGGUUCUUCUCGCUGGCCUCGCUCGGCGCUCUCCAUGCCUUUGCCAUCAGCUUCCGCCUCAUCGCCUACUUGUCGGUGUUCCCGCGCCGGCCCAUUGACCUCCGCCGCCGGUACGGCGCCUGGGCUAUCGUCACCGGCCCAACUUCCGGCAUCGGGCGCUCCAUGGCCCUGGAGCUCGCGGAGAGGGGCCUCAACCUCGUCCUCGUCGGCCGCGACCCCGCCAAGCUCGGGGACGUCUCCGAGACGAUCUCCAGGGCGCACGCCGCCGUGCAGACCAAGACCGUGCUGUUCGAUUUCUCCCCUGUCUCCACCGCGCAAGGCGACGAGGCGAUGCGGCGGCUCCGGGAAGCCGUGGCGGGGCUGGACGUAGGGAUGCUGGUGAACAACGCGGGCGUGGCGAAGCCGGGCGCGGUGUACCUCCACGAGGUGGACGUGGAGGCGUGGGUGAGGAUGAUACGGGUGAACGCGCUGGCUCUGACGGAGGUGACGGCGGCGGUGCUGCCGGGGAUGCUGCGGCGAGGGAGGGGCGCCAUCGUGAACAUCGGCUCCGGGUCAUCGUUCGCCCUCCCGUCCUACCCCCUCUACUCCGUCUACGUCGCCACCAAACGGUACGUUCUUGAGUUCUCCAGGAGCCUCUCCGUGGAGUACAAGAGCAGUGGAAUCGAUGUGCAAUGUCAGGUCCCGUUGCUGGUGGAGACGAACAUGGUGUCGAGCGCGGCCAGGCUCAUCCGGCAGUUCGUGCUGACCCCGGACGCCUACGCGCGCGCGGCGGUAAGCUGGAUCGGGCACGGAACGCUGUGUGUGCCCAACGCCGUCCACCGCCUCCAGGGAUGGUACAUCUGCUUCUGGCAGGAUUUCAUCACCGAUGGGAGCUUGUUGCGGCGACAUCUAAAGCAGAGGGUUAUCUUUCGGAGGCUCAGAUCAUGGAGGAAAUCACAGGGCAACUGUGUUGCUACCCGGAAUAACAAUGCUAGUGCUUAA
Molecule: ribosomal RNA, 996 nt
Filed under: Triticum aestivum (bread wheat)
Lineage: Eukaryota; Viridiplantae; Streptophyta; Magnoliopsida; Poales; Poaceae
Description: partial small subunit ribosomal RNA
Source: RNAcentral